AGUUCGGAUUGUAGUCUGCAACCCGACUACAUGAAGCUGGAAUCGCUAGUAAUCGCGAAUCAGAAUGUCGCGGUGAAUACGUUCCCGGGUCUUGUACACACCGCCCGUCGCACCAUGGGAGUCGGAAAUGCCCGAAGUCAGUGACCCAACCGUAAGGAGGGAGCUGCCGAAGGUGGAGCCGGUAACUGGGGUGAAGUCGUAACAAGGUAAC
RNAcentral lists this ribosomal RNA (211 nucleotides) under uncultured bacterium. RNAcentral describes it as "partial 16S ribosomal RNA". It matches the Rfam family "Bacterial small subunit ribosomal RNA", at positions 1290 to 1500 of the family's 1533-position model. The record is from RNAcentral.